Molecule: ribosomal RNA, 737 nt
Filed under: Staphylococcus cohnii
Lineage: Bacteria; Bacillati; Bacillota; Bacilli; Caryophanales; Staphylococcaceae
Description: bacterial SSU rRNA
Rfam family: Bacterial small subunit ribosomal RNA
Source: RNAcentral
CAGUCGAGCGACAGACGAGGAGCUUGCUCCUCUGACGUUAGCGGCGGACGGGUGAGUAACACGUGGAUAACCUACCUAUAAGACUGGGAUAACUUCGGGAAACCGGAGCUAAUACCGGAUAACAUGUUGAACCGCAUGGUUCAACAGUGAAAGACGGUCUUGCUGUCACUUAUAGAUGGAUCCGCGCCGCAUUAGCUAGUUGGUAAGGUAACGGCUUACCAAGGCAACGAUGCGUAGCCGACCUGAGAGGGUGAUCGGCCACACUGGAACUGAGACACGGUCCAGACUCCUACGGGAGGCAGCAGUAGGGAAUCUUCCGCAAUGGGCGAAAGCCUGACGGAGCAACGCCGCGUGAGUGAAGAAGGUCUUCGGAUCGUAAAACUCUGUUAUUAGGGAAGAACAAAUGUGUAAGUAACUAUGCACGUCUUGACGGUACCUAAUCAGAAAGCCACGGCUAACUACGUGCCAGCAGCCGCGGUAAUACGUAGGUGGCAAGCGUUAUCCGGAAUUAUUGGGCGUAAAGCGCGCGUAGGCGGUUUUUUAAGUCUGAUGUGAAAGCCCACGGCUCAACCGUGGAGGGUCAUUGGAAACUGGAAAACUUGAGUGCAGAAGAGGAAAGUGGAAUUCCAUGUGUAGCGGUGAAAUGCGCAGAGAUAUGGAGGAACACCAGUGGCGAAGGCGACUUUCUGGUCUGUAACUGACGCUGAUGUGCGAAAGCGUGGGGAUCAAACAGGAUU